This 465-nucleotide ribosomal RNA is filed under the name uncultured bacterium. RNAcentral describes it as "bacterial SSU rRNA". It matches the Rfam family "Bacterial small subunit ribosomal RNA", at positions 917 to 1382 of the family's 1533-position model. The record is from RNAcentral.
GGGCCCGCACAAGCGGUGGAGCAUGUGGUUCAAUUCGACGCAACGCGAAGAACCUUACCUGGGCUCGAAAUGUAGUGGACCGGGGUAGAAAUAUCCCUUUCCGCAAGGACUGCUAUAUAGGUGCUGCAUGGCUGUCGUCAGCUCGUGUCGUGAGAUGUUGGGUUAAGUCCCGCAACGAGCGCAACCCUUAUCUUUAGUUGCCAUCAGGUCAAGCUGGGCACUCUAACGAAACCGCGUAGGAUAACUACGAGGAAGGUGGGGAUGACGUCAAGUCCUCAUGGCCUUUAUGUCCAGGGCUACACACGUGCUACAAUGCGCGAUACAAAACGUCGCAAACCCGCGAGGGGGAGCUAAUCGGAAAAAGUCGCGCUCAGUUCGGAUUGGAGUCUGCAAUUCGACUCCAUGAAGCUGGAAUCGCUAGUAAUCGCGGAUCAGAACGCCGCGGUGAAUACGUUCCCGGGCCUU